GACGAACGCUGGCGGCGUGCUUAACACAUGCAAGUCGAACGAAGUGGCGAACGGGUGAGUAACGCGUAAUCAACCUGCCCUUCAGAGGGGGACAACAGGUGGAAACGACUGCUAAUAACGCAUACUGAAGGAGGGGUAUGAGUCGGCUUAGCUAGUUGGAGGGGAAACGGCCCACCAAGGUGAUGAUCAGUAGCCGGUCUGAGGGGAGUAACGGCCAAAUUGGGAAUGAUAACCGGGCCAGACUCCUACGGGAUGCAGCAGUGGGGAAUCUUCCGCAAUGGACGAAAGUCUGACGGUGCAACGCCGCGGGAGUGAUGACGGCCUUCGGGUUGUAAAGCUCUGUUAAUCGGGACGCAGUACCGGAAUAGAAAGCCACGGCUAACUACGUGCCAGCCGCCGCGGUAAUAC
RNAcentral lists this ribosomal RNA (408 nucleotides) under uncultured bacterium. Its description in RNAcentral is "partial 16S ribosomal RNA". It matches the Rfam family "Bacterial small subunit ribosomal RNA", at positions 28 to 526 of the family's 1533-position model. The record is from RNAcentral.